Molecule: long non-coding RNA, 740 nt
Organism: Daphnia carinata
Lineage: Eukaryota; Metazoa; Arthropoda; Branchiopoda; Diplostraca; Daphniidae
Exons: 3
Source: RefSeq, a predicted model, not a curated record
UUUCCAAUUGGGCUGUCAUUGGAGUUCUGCAAUUGCUCUUUGUUGCCGAGAUAAUCAACUGAGGUAAGCUAUGCCUAUAGUACCAACUAGUACUUCGCACGGGAGAAGCCUCCACCCAGCAACAGACGUCUUUUCCAUUCGUUAGUUAAGUACUGAAGAAGGUGAAAAACAUUGGAAGGCUUUCGAAACACGUGUUAUUGAGCAUAAUGUCCUCAUCGUGGCCAAACACUACACGCGUGUGGCAAUGCAAAGGAUGAUUUCAUCCUUGAUUUUUCUAUUGAGGAACACAGAAGAAUAUCUAAUGUGGUGUACAGUUAAACUGUAACAUCGUGCGUCGGCAUUGACCCGAUUUUUAAAACCUUUUUAAGGAGAUUAGGUCCUCGAUUACUGCUGAUAUACAGGUCAAAGAUGAAAUAGCGUUAUUUAUAGAUAUUCUUUCGGGUAAUAUAAGUUUUUCGCAUUUCAGCCAACAGAUGUCGACCCUACCGCUUUUGUGUCGGUGACUCGAGAGGACGUUCUGCUCUUGGAUCUGACGAAUUGUGGAUAUGAAUGUACAAAAUCUUUGAUGACUGGAUUUGACACUCAGAACUGUUCCUGUUAGAAAGUGGAUCGAGGCUGAUGCAUACUUUCUUGUCAUAAUGCAAGAGAAAUAGGGUAAAGUUGCUGAAGCUGCAGACAUUCUCCAAGAACGUCUGUUCAAGACCGAUGAUUCUAUGGAAAAGCUAGAAAAUGUAAGACUU